AACGUAGGAGACAAACGUUAUCCGGAGUUACUGGGCGUAAAGGGCGUGUAGGCGGUUCGUUAAGUCUGGCGUGAAAGCUCUCGGCUAAACCGGGAGAGGUCGUUGGAUACUGGCAAACUAGAGGACGGUAGAGGCGUGUGGAAUUCCGGGUGUAGUGGUGAAAUGCGUAGAGAUCCGGAGGAACACCAGUGGCGAAGGCGGCCACCUGGGCCGACCCUGACGCUGAGGCGCGAAGGCGUGGGGAGCGAACGGG
Molecule: ribosomal RNA, 253 nt
Filed under: uncultured bacterium
Lineage: Bacteria
Description: partial 16S ribosomal RNA
Rfam family: Bacterial small subunit ribosomal RNA
Source: RNAcentral